Molecule: long non-coding RNA, 2221 nt
Organism: Mastacembelus armatus (zig-zag eel)
Lineage: Eukaryota; Metazoa; Chordata; Actinopteri; Synbranchiformes; Mastacembelidae
Source: Ensembl
CAAAAUGAGACGUGACUUAUGUCACUACAUGUGUCUCUCUCGCCUCUGUAAAAGUUCUUUGUUCAUAGCACCCCUCAGUUCUUGGAUGUAGUGAAGGAGGACAUGAGGAUAGUUGGUGUGGGUGAGGAGGAUACAGAGGAUAGGGUUAAAUGGAGGCAGAUGAUUGGCUGUGGAGACCCCUGAAGGGAGCAGCCGAAAGGAAAAGAAGAAGAAGAGUUACAGUAGUGCCCACUAGUGGCAGCGAUGUGAAAUAACGUGAGCACUAUUUUGUGAGCGGGGGUGUCAUUCCCGCCAUAAGAACGUCAUGCGUCUGUAUCAUCCAAUGAGACUCGUCGGGGGUUUUAACCCCGCGAAACUGCAGCAGCAGAUCAGACAGUGAGUGAAGGGAGAGUGAAGAAGCUGCAGCAUGUGGUCUGCUGGGAGAAGCUGCUGCACCAGGGCAGGUUGGUGUCGAUUGCCCUUCACUGGAAGCCAAAGAAGGUGGCACAGUUACUUUUGAGUGUCGUCUGGAUCCCCCAGUCAACUUAUCAACAUACGCACUGGAUUUUAGGACAGCUGACCUCGACGAGGAGGUCUACGUGUAUCCAUCUGGGGACAGGAUUCCGACACAGAUGAUGGGGUACAGAAACAGGACGAGUCUCAUCCAGGAGCACCUGAGCAGUGGACUCAUUAGACUGAACCUGUCCCGGGUACAGCUGUCUGACAGUGGACCAUACAAAUGCUUCAUCCCCAAACUGAGGGUUGGCUGCACUUUCAACCUCACAGUUGUAAAACCGGAGGCACCAGACAGGAUAGAGGAUGAUAACAACAGUACGACAACACCUCCAGUGGAAAACCAGCCUGAGGAUGAAAAGGUUCAUUUCUCAGCCAGAGGACGUUAUGGUCUCAUUGGUGUUGGUGCUGUCCUUGGCAUCAUCAUCAUCAUCACCUUCAUCAUCCUGAAACGUAAACAGAUCCAGCAUUUCUGGAAGCAGCUCAGAGGAAGAGAGGACCAAAGAGCAGAGCCAGUGGAAGAAGAACAUGAAAUGAAGACGCUGAACGGGGAAGCACCUGAGCUGGAGUGAACCUGGAGAGUCCUGCAGGAAACACCCUGGGAGGAGUCGAGGUGGAGGAGUGAGAAUAAAACCAGAUGUUAGAGAUGCCAAAGACUUUACUGGACCAAAAAAAAAAAAAAAAAAAAAGCUGGACUGUAUUUUAAUGAACCGAUGACAUCAGGUCUUUGUCAGGUGGAUUUCAUCAAGAAUUUUAUGAAGGAUAAAUGUAUUUAUGUAAUUAUUUUGUAUUUAUUUAUUGCACUUUCAGCCUGUUAAACAGUUUUCAGACUCAUAAGACCCAGAACCAGACUCUUCUAUUUCUCCACUGCAGCUUGUACGUCUUUUAACUGAGACGAGCAAAUAUCAGCACAUUUCCCUGGUUUUAUUCUCACUCCACUGGCUGGUUGGAUCUGUGUCAGGAAGCCACCUGCAGGACCUGAAGGGGUCAUGACAUUUGGGGUCUUUUCAAGAUGAGUCCACCUAUUUCUCCAGUUGGUUCUUGUCUUCUUGAGAAUUAGCAACUCUUACAACCUAAAAGAAAUUUGCACAAGACAAAUGUAGUGUGAGGCUGAAGCAUUAUCAGGAAACACUACAAGUCACAACAUGAAGCUCGACUGGAACCAAAGAGAAAAAUCUGUUCAGGUGUUGAAUUUGACUGUAGCUUUGAAACAUUUGUGGUGUAAUGUUGAGACUCAUGUUGUUUAACUGUCAUGACUUUAACACCAGAUUCCAAGACCAAGUGUUGAAACUGAUUUGAAUAUUCAGCUUCUGUUCCUUAAAGCACUUUCAAUUUGUUUCCAGCUGCUUCAUCUAUUUAUUUUCACCUUGUUUUCUGAAACAAAUUUUAUUUAACUUUGGGUUUUUCUUCUUUCUCUUCUUUCUGUUGUUCAAUGUGCUUUGUUAUAUACAAUAAACUCUGUUGUCCCUUCAUGUCCCAGUCUGUCAUUAUUUUGAUGAUCUCAGUAUUUAGUUAUUUAAUAACUGCUUCAGCUAAAUGACAGUAAAACACACAACUGCAACUUUAUUUGUUGAGCCCUUUUAAAAACACAAAACAGGUCAAAUCUAAAUAUCAACAUCUCAGACUGUCAAAGGUCACUGAGGACAGGGGAGUUUCAUGAAGACAUUUAAAAAUAGAUCAGGAGGAGGCCUGUCUAAUGUGAAGGGCAGCUCAUUCCACAGUCCUGGUG